Molecule: ribosomal RNA, 292 nt
Filed under: uncultured bacterium
Lineage: Bacteria
Description: partial 16S ribosomal RNA
Rfam family: Bacterial small subunit ribosomal RNA
Source: RNAcentral
GUGCCAGCCGCCGCGGUAAUACAGAGGUCCCAAGCGUUGUUCGGAUUCACUGGGCGUAAAGGGUGCGUAGGCGGUAGGGUAAGUCUGACGUGAAAUCUUCGAGCCUAACUCGGAAACUGCGUCGGAUACUAUUCGGCUAGAGGAAUGGAGGGGAGACUGGAAUACUUGGUGUAGCAGUGAAAUGCGUAGAUAUCAAGUGGAACACCAGUGGCGAAGGCGAGUCUCUGGACAUUUCCUGACGCUGAGGCACGAAAGCCAGGGGAGCAAACGGGAUUAGAAACCCUUGUAGUCC